GGGGUUGUGGCUCAGCGGUAAAGCACUUGCCUAGCAUGUGAGAAGCCCUGGGUUCAAGCCACAGCACCACA
This 71-nucleotide transfer RNA is filed under the name Marmota monax (woodchuck). RNAcentral describes it as "tRNA.Ala". The record is from RNAcentral. Lineage: Eukaryota; Metazoa; Chordata; Mammalia; Rodentia; Sciuridae.